GUCGAGCGAGGUUUUCGGACCUAGCGGCGGACGGGUGAGUAAUGCGUAGGAAGCUGCCCGAUAGAGGGGGAUACCAGUUGGAAACGACUGUUAAUACCGCAUAAUGUCUACGGACCAAAGUAUGGGACCUUCGGGCCAUAUGCUAUCGGAUGCGCCUACGUGGGAUUAGCUAGUUGGUGGGGUAAAGGCUCACCAAGGCGACGAUCCCUAGCUGGUUUGAGAGGAUGAUCAGCCACACUGGGACUGAGACACGACCCAGACUACUACGGGAGGCAGCAGUGGGGAAUAUUGGACAAUGGGCGCAAGCCUGAUCCAGCCAUGCCGCGUGUGUGAAGAAGGCCUUAGGGUUGUAAAGCACUUUCAGUGGGGAGGAAGGGGUUGUUGUUAAUAGUAACAAU
RNAcentral lists this ribosomal RNA (398 nucleotides) under bacterium SL3.37. Its description in RNAcentral is "bacterial SSU rRNA". It matches the Rfam family "Bacterial small subunit ribosomal RNA", at positions 61 to 470 of the family's 1533-position model. The record is from RNAcentral.